RNAcentral lists this long non-coding RNA (221 nucleotides) under Mytilus galloprovincialis (Mediterranean mussel). The record is from RNAcentral. Lineage: Eukaryota; Metazoa; Mollusca; Bivalvia; Mytilida; Mytilidae.
UGUUGCCUUUCAUCGGGGUGAGAUGGUUGUCAACACCUAUACUGUUUAGUUAUACGGGUGAUGUUCUCAUAUUUUUUAUGAUGGUGUUAUACUAAAUCCCUCACGUGAGGGAUUGUGCUUGAUAUUCAUGUAAAGAAGACAUAAUCUUGCAAUCAGUUUAAUUGAGGUAUGAAACUGGAAUGUCAGUAAAUGCUAGUGACCCUUUGUUAAUUGAUGUAUUA